UACGUAGGUGGCAAGCGUUGUCCGGAUUUACUGGGCGUAAAGAGCGCGCAGGCGGUCGUUCAAGUCGCGUGUGAAAGCCCCCGGCUCAACUGGGGAGGGUCACGCGAUACUGAUCGACUGGAAGGCAGGAGAGGGUAGUGGAAUUCCCGGUGUAGUGGUGAAAUGCGUAGAUAUCGGGAGGAACACCAGUGGCGAAGGCGACUACCUGGCCUGUUCUUGACGCUGAGACGCGAAAGCGUGGGGAGCAAACAGG
RNAcentral lists this ribosomal RNA (253 nucleotides) under uncultured bacterium. Its description in RNAcentral is "partial 16S ribosomal RNA". It matches the Rfam family "Bacterial small subunit ribosomal RNA", at positions 524 to 776 of the family's 1533-position model. The record is from RNAcentral.